GGGGAUACAGCUCAGUUGGCAGAGUGUUUGCCUCAAAUGCACAAGGCCCUGGGUUCAAUCCCCAGCACCA
Molecule: transfer RNA, 70 nt
Filed under: Marmota monax (woodchuck)
Lineage: Eukaryota; Metazoa; Chordata; Mammalia; Rodentia; Sciuridae
Description: tRNA.Leu
Rfam family: tRNA (bases 9-65)
About the family: Transfer RNA (tRNA) molecules are approximately 80 nucleotides in length. Their secondary structure includes four short double-helical elements and three loops (D, anti-codon, and T loops).
Source: RNAcentral